Molecule: unclassified non-coding RNA, 358 nt
Filed under: soil metagenome
Description: partial contains 5.8S ribosomal RNA, internal transcribed spacer 2, and large subunit ribosomal RNA
Rfam family: 5.8S ribosomal RNA (bases 1-120)
Source: RNAcentral
GAUGAAGAACGUAGCGAAAUGCGAUAAGUAAUGUGAAUUGCAGAAUUCAGUGAAUCAUCGAAUCUUUGAACGCACAUUGCGCCUGCCAGUAUUCUGGCGGGCAUGCCUGUCCGAGCGUCAUUUCAACCCUCGAACCCCUCCGGGGGGUCGGCGUUGGGGACCUCGGGAGCCCCUAAGACGGGAUCCCGGCCCCGAAAUACAGUGGCGGUCUCGCCGCAGCCUCUCCUGCGCAGUAGUUUGCACAACUCGCACCGGGAGCGCGGCGCGUCCACGUCCGUAAAACACCCAACUUCUGAAAUGUUGACCUCGGAUCAGGUAGGAAUACCCGCUGAACUUAAGCAUAUCAAUAAGCGGAGGA